GAUGAACGCUGGCGGCGCGCCUAACACAUGCAAGUCGAACGAUUAAAGCACCUUCGGGUGUGUAUAAAGUGGCGAACGGCUGAGUAACACGUGGGCAACCUGCCCCUUUCAUUGGGAUAGCCACGGGAAACCGUGGAUAAUACCGAAUACUUCGAGACUUCCGCAUGGAAGACUCGAGAAAGCUCCGGCGGAGGGGGAUGGGCCCGCGGCCUGUUAGCUUGUUGGUGGGGUAACGGCCUACCAAGGCAAUGACGGGUAGCUGGGUUGAGAGGCUGACCAGCCAGAUUGGGACUGAGACACGGCCCAGACUCCUACGGGAGGCAGCAGUGGGGAAUCUUGCACAAUGGGCGAAAGCCUGAUGCAGCGACGCCGCGUGCGGGAUGAAGGCCUUCGGGUUGUAAACCGCUUUCGGCAGGGACGAGGCGAAAGUGACGGUACCUGCAGAAGAAGCCCCGGCUAACUACGUG
This 467-nucleotide ribosomal RNA is filed under the name uncultured bacterium. RNAcentral's name for it is "partial 16S ribosomal RNA". It matches the Rfam family "Bacterial small subunit ribosomal RNA", at positions 28 to 507 of the family's 1533-position model. The record is from RNAcentral.